AGUGAACGCUGGCGGUAGGCCUAACACAUGCAAGUCGAACGGCAGCACAGAGGAGCUUGCUCCUUGGGUGGCGAGUGGCGGACGGGUGAGGAAUACAUCGGAAUCUACUCUGUCGUGGGGGAUAACGUAGGGAAACUUACGCUAAUACCGCAUACGACCUACGGGUGAAAGCAGGGGAUCUUCGGACCUUGCGCGAUUGAAUGAGCCGAUGUCGGAUUAGCUAGUUGGCGGGGUAAAGGCCCACCGAGGCGACGAUCCGUAGCUGGUCCGAGACGAUGAUCAGCCACACUGGAACCGAGACACGGUCCAGACUCCUACGGGAGGCAGCAGUGGGGAAUAUUGGACAAUGGGCGCAAGCCUGAUCCAGCCAUACCGCGCGGGUGAAGAAGGCCUUCGGGUUGUAAAGCCCUUUUGUUGGGAAAGAAAUCCAUCUGGUUAAUACCCGGGUGGGAUGACGGUACCCAAAGAAUAAGCACCGGCUAACUUCGUGCCAGCAGCCGCCGUAA
Molecule: ribosomal RNA, 506 nt
Filed under: uncultured bacterium
Lineage: Bacteria
Description: partial 16S ribosomal RNA
Rfam family: Bacterial small subunit ribosomal RNA
Source: RNAcentral